GGUCUAGGCGGGAUGGUCAGUCAGAUGUGAAAUUUCAGAGCUCAACUCUGGAGCUGCAUUUGAAACUGCCAUUCUUGAGGAUAAUCGGAGAAAGUAGAAUUCCACAAGUAGCGGUGAAAUGCGUAGAUAUGUGGAGGAAUACCAGUGGCGAAGGCGACUUUCUAGAUUAUUCCUGACGCUAAAGCCCGAAAGCAAGGGGAGCAAACAGGAUUAGAUACCCUGGUAGUCC
Molecule: ribosomal RNA, 229 nt
Filed under: uncultured bacterium
Lineage: Bacteria
Description: partial 16S ribosomal RNA
Rfam family: Bacterial small subunit ribosomal RNA
Source: RNAcentral